GACGUACGCUGGCGGCGUGCUUAACACAUGCAAGUCGAACGGUAAGGCCCUUCGGGGUACACGAGUGGCGAACGGGUGAGUAACACGUGGGUGAUCUGCCCCGCACUUCGGGAUAAGCCUGGGCAACUGGGUCUAAUACCGGAUAGGUCCAACGCCUGCAUGGGUGGUGGUGGAAAGCUUUUGCGGUGUGGGAUGGGCCCGCGGCCUAUCAGCUUGUUGGUGGGGUGAUGGCCUACCAAGGCGACGACGGGUAGCCGGCCUGAGAGGGUGACCGGCCACACUGGGACUGAGAUACGGCCCAGACUCCUACGGGAGGCAGCAGCGGGGAAUAUUGCACAAUGGGCGCAAGCCUGAUGCAGCGACGCCGCGUGAGGGAUGACGGCCUUCGGGUUGUAAACCUCUUUCAGCACCGACGAAGCGCCAGUGACGGUAGGUGCAGAAGAAGGACCGGCCAACUACGUGCCAGCCGCCGCAGUAA
This 478-nucleotide ribosomal RNA is filed under the name uncultured bacterium. Its description in RNAcentral is "partial 16S ribosomal RNA". It matches the Rfam family "Bacterial small subunit ribosomal RNA", at positions 28 to 523 of the family's 1533-position model. The record is from RNAcentral.